GUGCCAGCCGCCGCGGUAAUACCAGCACCCCGAGUGGUCGGGAUGAUUAUUGGGCCUAAAGCAUCCGUAGCCGGUGUAACAAGUCCUCCGUUAAAUCCACCUGCUUAACAGGUGGGCUGCGGAGGAUACUGUUACACUAGGAGGCGGGAGAGGCGAGGGGUAUUCCACGGGUAGGGGUAAAAUCCUCUGAUCCGUGGAGGACCACCAGUGGCGAAGGCGCCUCGCCAGAACGCGCUCGACGGGGAGGGAUGAAAGCUGGGGGAGCAAACCGGAUUAGAUACCCGGGUAGUCCCAGCCGUAAACGAUGUAGGCUCGGUGAUGGACUGGCUCCGAGCCAGUCCAGUGCCGCAGGGAAGCCGUUAAGCCUACCGCCUGGGGAGUACGGCCGCAAGGCUGAAACUUAAAUGAAUUGACGGGG
This 418-nucleotide ribosomal RNA is filed under the name uncultured prokaryote. RNAcentral's name for it is "bacterial SSU rRNA". It matches the Rfam family "Archaeal small subunit ribosomal RNA", at positions 455 to 873 of the family's 1478-position model. The record is from RNAcentral.